CCUACGGGAGGCAGCAGUGAGGAAUAUUGGUCAAUGGACGAGAGUCUGAACCAGCCAAGUAGCGUGAAGGAUGACUGCCCUCUGGGUUGUAAACUUCUUUUAUAUGGGAAUAAAAUGUUCCACGUGUGGGAUUUUGUAUGUACCAUAUGAAUAAGGAUCGGCUAACUCCGUGCCAGCAGCCGCGGUAAUACGGAGGAGCCGAGCGUUAUCCGGAUUUUUUGGGUUUAAAGGGAGCGUAGGUGGAUUGUUAAGUCAGUUGUGAAAGUUUGCGGCUCAACCGUAGAAUUGCAGUUGAAACUGGCAGUCUUGAGUACAGUAGAGGUGGGCGGAAUUCGUGGUGUAGCGGUGAAAUGCUUAGAUAUCACGAAGAACUCCGAUUGCGAAGGCAGCUCACUGGACUGCAACUGACACUGAGGCUCGAAAGUGUGGGUAUCAAACAGGAUUAGAUACCCCAGUAGUC
RNAcentral lists this ribosomal RNA (460 nucleotides) under uncultured bacterium. Its description in RNAcentral is "partial 16S ribosomal RNA". It matches the Rfam family "Bacterial small subunit ribosomal RNA", at positions 338 to 795 of the family's 1533-position model. The record is from RNAcentral.